RNA transcript from Rhineura floridana, 2519 nucleotides. It is a transcript of the gene named TAR DNA binding protein, with no coding region annotated. The record is from RefSeq and is a predicted model, not a curated record. The transcript is spliced from 7 exons. Lineage: Eukaryota; Metazoa; Chordata; Lepidosauria; Squamata; Rhineuridae.
GCGAGAACCGGGGCGUUGAGAAAGCUCGCUCCGUCCCCCCACGGUCCGGAGCUCCUCUCGCGGAGCGCGAGGCGACCUAGUAGGCCUCAAGGAGCGUCUGGCCUAGCGCGGGAAGGCCGGGACAGCCAGUGGCCUGGGUUAGUGGUGGGCGAAAUGUAUACCCCGGGCCUCGCUUAUGGACGUGGUAACACCACAGCAGAAAUGUCAGAAUACAUCCGGGUUACCGAAGAUGAAAAUGAGGAACCUAUUGAGAUCCCUUCAGAGGAUGAUGGGACUGUCUUGCUCUCCACAGUUACUGCUCAGUUCCCAGGAGCAUGUGGUCUGCGUUACAGGAACCCUGUGUCUCAGUGUAUGAGAGGAGUUCGAUUAGUGGAAGGAAUUCUGCAUGCACCAGAUAAUGGCUGGGGAAAUCUGGUGUAUGUUGUUAAUUAUCCCAAAGACAACAAGAGGAAAAUGGAUGAAACAGAUGCCUCAUCAGCUGUCAAAGUGAAACGAGCAGUGCAGAAAACCUCUGAUCUGAUAGUUCUGGGUCUUCCAUGGAAAACAACUGAACAAGAUCUGAAGGAAUAUUUCAGCACGUUUGGAGAGGUUCUCAUGGUGCAGGUUAAAAAGGACAUCAAAACUGGCCACUCAAAGGGGUUUGGUUUUGUAAGGUUCACUGACUAUGAAACCCAGGUGAAAGUCAUGUCUCAGCGCCACAUGAUAGAUGGAAGAUGGUGUGACUGCAAACUUCCAAAUUCUAAGCAAAGUCCAGAUGAACCUUUGCGUAGCAGGAAGGUGUUUGUUGGGCGUUGCACCGAUGACAUGACUCAAGAUGAGCUCCGGCAGUUUUUUUCCCAGUAUGGAGAAGUGGUUGAUGUCUUCAUCCCCAAACCCUUCAGAGCUUUUGCCUUUGUUACGUUUGCUGAUGAUCAGGUUGCCCAGUCCCUUUGUGGCGAGGACUUGAUCAUAAAAGGAAUCAGCGUCCAUAUAUCCAAUGCUGAACCUAAGCAUAAUAGCAGUAGACAACUAGAAAGAGGUGGAAGAUUUGGUGGUAAUCCAGGAGGCUUUGGGAAUCAGGGUGGAUUUCCUAACAGGGGGGGAGGUGGUGGAGGUGGUGGGUUGGGAAACAACCAGGGCAGUAACGUGGGUGGCGGGAUGAACUUUGGAGCCUUUAGCAUCAACCCAGCCAUGAUGGCAGCAGCUCAGGCAGCACUCCAGAGUAGUUGGGGAAUGAUGGGCAUGCUAGCCAGUCAGCAAAACCAGUCUGGGCCAUCGGGGAAUAGCCAGCCACAAGGCAACAUGCAGAGGGAGCAGAACCAGGGCUUCAGUUCAGGGAGCAAUUCCUAUGGAGGCUCUAACUCUGGUGCAGCGAUAGGAUGGGGCUCAUCAAACACAGGCUCUAGCAGUGGUUUUAAUGGAGGUUUUGGCUCGAGCAUGGAAUCCAAAUCAUCUGGCUGGGGAAUGUAGGCAACUUUAUACUGACUCUGUGGUGGGAAAUCAGAUUUUUUUUUCUAGAGCUCCUGGUAAGUAUAUUAUAAAAUACAUAUACUAAAACAAAACAAAAAUUCCAAAUCAGUUUGUUCAGCGUGUAGUAUAUUUCAACAAUAUUUUUGACACAUUUUUCUUUUGUAAGGGGGAAUACAAGGAAGGUUAAAUGGAGUUUUAUAGGUUUUGUUACAAUGAGUUGGAAUGAGUUGGGAUAUUGAGUGGUUUGAAAGUGAACUGCUGUUUGCCUGACUGGUAAACGGAAGCGCUGCAAUUUGACAGGAAUUCGUAAAAAUUUGAUUCCUCAUUUCCUAGUCAGCUGAGAUCUUUGCAUGUUUCAAAAAUGGAAGCCAUUUUUCAGAAACUGCAUCCUUUUUCCUUGUUAGUUUUUUUCUUUUAAAAUUUAAUUUGAUCCCCCGCCAUAAGAAUUUCUCUCUCUUUCUCUCCCUCCCCCUCCCCCAAAUGUCCUGUGUGGAGAAUGCAAUGUUGGUGUCGGCUUUUUUUCCUUUUAACACUGUCUCCCCUCCUCAUACUAAAGUACGGUAUGAAGACCUCAUUUAAUCCUUGCAGUUCAUCUCAUUUCAAAUGUGUAUGGAAGAAGCACUUCAUUGAACGCAGUGCAGUUAAAAAAAAAAAACCCUGCCUUAGGAAUACUCCUGUCUCCAUGCUUUCCUCAUCCAAGACUCCUUCAUCACACUGCACAUGCUACGUCUUAAAGACGCACUUGCAAUAAUACCAGCUACUGCUGCUGAGUAACACUUAAUAUGGUAUUCUCGGACCUCCAAAGACUAAACUCUGUCAUCUCGGGAAGGAUCAUGAGGGUAAGUUUUAAUACAUCGCUAGCAUGGUUUCAGUAUUUAUUUUCAACGUUUUUUUUAAGUCUAGGGCCAAGGGGGAAAACACAUGCUGUGAUAUUUUAAUCCCAUCAGAGCACUGAGGGUUCUUAUCUCCCCUCCCUCAAAUCCCUAAGUGUAUUAAAUGUUUUCAAACAUUAUUCAUAUCUUUAAUUUUUUUUUUCUGCCACUGUAUAAAGCAAGUUAAUAAAAGGUAUU